Molecule: ribosomal RNA, 490 nt
Filed under: uncultured bacterium
Lineage: Bacteria
Description: partial 16S ribosomal RNA
Rfam family: Bacterial small subunit ribosomal RNA
Source: RNAcentral
GUGCACGCUGGCGGUAGGCCUAACACCUGCAAGUCGAACGGCAGCACAGUAAGAGCUUGCUCUUACGGGUGGCGAGUGGCGGACGGGUGAGGAAUACAUCGGAAUCUACUUUUUCGUGGGGGAUAACGUAGGGAAACUUACGCUAAUACCGCAUACGACCUACGGGUGAAAGCAGGGGAUCUUCGGACCUUGCGCGAUUGAAUGAGCCGAUGUCGGAUUAGCUAGUUGGCGGGGUAAAGGCCCACCAAGGCGACGAUCCGUAGCUGGUCUGAGAGGAUGAUCAGCCACACUGGAACUGAGACACGGUCCAGACUCCUACGGGAGGCAGCAGUGGGGAAUAUUGGACAAUGGGCGCAAGCCUGAUCCAGCCAUACCGCGUGGGUGAAGAAGGCCUUCGGGUUGUAAAGCCCUUUUGUUGGGAAAGAAAAGCAGCAGGUUAAUACCCCGCUGUUCUGACGGUACCCAAAGAAUAAGCACCGGCUAACUUCGU